UUUUAGUAUGCUUUUUUCAGAAAAGUGGAAAAAGAAAAAGAAAUCUUUUGCCAUUUCGUUGUUUUUAGUGAAAAAGGAAAAUAACUGAAAGAAAGGGAACACAAGUUUUGCAUGCAAAAAGUACUUUUUAUUUAUUCACAUAAUACUUUUAAACAUGGAGGCCCUUACAAGCUAUCCUCUCGUCUCGGGAGAGGAAGAGGGAUGGAGAAAACAAAAUGCAUUACGUUUUUUUCGAGUACAC
Molecule: long non-coding RNA, 241 nt
Filed under: Lathyrus oleraceus (garden pea)
Lineage: Eukaryota; Viridiplantae; Streptophyta; Magnoliopsida; Fabales; Fabaceae
Description: Pisum sativum (pea) long non-coding RNA (PSAT_LNC033913)
Source: RNAcentral